This is a non-coding RNA of Callithrix jacchus (white-tufted-ear marmoset), 2017 nucleotides long. Lineage: Eukaryota; Metazoa; Chordata; Mammalia; Primates; Cebidae. The record is from RefSeq and is a predicted model, not a curated record.
CAAAGACGUCUGCUUAUUCCAUAACUGUGAUGUCUUUCCUUUGGGCCCUAAGCUAUCUGUGCUUUUCUUGUCCCAGGGUCUGAGAUCCAGCAGCACUUUUUGAAGUGAGCCUUUAUUACAGCUAUUACCACAAGGUUUUGUGGGUCAAUAAUUCAGAAGUAACUUAGCUUGGCAUCUCUCAUGAAGGUGCAGUCAUCUGAAGACUUGACUGGGGCUGAAGGAUCCAUUUCCAAGAAGGCUCACUUACAUGCCUGGCAAAACAUGAGACUUUACAACCUGCUAAAAAUGAGCUUUCGGGACCUGCUCAUCUAGAAAUCAACUGUCCUAGCCACGAGAGAUCAGAUAAAACCUGAGACCAGAUACUCAUUUUCCUUUCUCCGAAAGAUUUUAAAAAAGAAAAGGGGGAAAAUGUGAAAGGAAAGUAUCUGGGGCCUCUUCAAGCUGGGAACUGCUCAGGGCAAAUCUGCCUCCAAUUCUAUUCAAGUCAUCUCUCUGCUCACAGAGAUAGAUGCAUAUUCUGAUUGCCUCUUCUGGAAAGACAUGUCAGAAACUGAAAAGAAUGCAAUCUAUGUUUCACCUACAUGUAACCUGGAAGUAAGUUGUCUCCACCUUUCUGGAUGAAACUAAUGUACUUCAUACAUAUUGACUGAUGUCUCCUGUCUCCCUAAAAUAUAUAAACUCAAGCUGUGCCCCGACCACAUUGGGCACAUGUCAUCAGAACUUCCUGAGACUGUGUCACAGGUGCAUCCUCAACCUUGGCAAAAUAAACUUUUAAAAUUAACUGAGACCUGUCUCAGAUUUUUGAGGUUCACAUAGGCAAGACACAAAUAUAUGCUGACUGGAGGAACCUGUGGGAGUGGUAUAAUGAUCUAUCUGGAAGUUUAUCAUUUCCUUCUGCAAGACUGGGAGGUUUUUCCAUAGAAGUUGGCUAUGAAUUGUGCUUUGAAAGAAGGGAAGGGUGGAUCCUGCCUGGUUGAAGAAGUAAAAGCAGUUAAUUUUAGUAACAAUAAGAAUGAUACAGGCUAGGGCUGAAUAAGAAGGGAUGGGAACAAAAGAAACUUGGCUAGAAGCCAACAGAUGGACUUAAAUAAGCAAGGAAAUAAGACAUACAGUAUCGCUAUCAUCUUGCAUUAAUACUCUUCAUUUUUACUUAUCAAAACACUUCCACAUAAAUGAUUUCCUUUGAUUUUCACAAUAAACCUGUAAAGUAGACAGACAGUCCAAGAAGCAAUCAUUGUACAGGUUGCUUUGUCAUUUUUUUAGGAAUCAAGGGAUUGAACCAAACACUUUUCCCAAGCUUGGUUCCUUGAGCCUUUGGCUGGCCCUGAGAUAGACAGCUGAGGUGGAUUGUGAUGGAGUCUCAUAGUUUACAUUUGGGGAAUGAAGUAGUAGAAGCCAAAGGCUCAAAGAAUUACCCAAGUGUCAACAUACAGGAUUGACAGAAAAGAUGACAAGCUGGCCAGGUACCAUGCCUCAUGGCCUGUAAUCCCAGCACUUUGGGAGGCUGAGGCCGGAGGAUCACCUGAGCCCAGGUGUUAGAGACUAGCCUGGGCAACAUAGCGAGACCUUGUCUCUACUAAAAAGUAAUUUGUGUGUGUGCGUGUGUGUGUGUGUGUGUGUGUGUGUGUGUGUGUUUUCCCAGGCAUAGUGGCUUGUGCCUGUGGUCCCAGCUACUUGGGAUGUUGAGGUGAGUGAGGUGAGAGGACUGCUUGAAUCCAGGAGUUCAAGGCCAAACUGGACAGCAUGGUGAGAUCCUGUGUCUAUAAAAAAUAAAAAAAAUAGCCAGGUUUGGUGGCACAUGCCUGUAGUCACAGCUAUGUGGGAGGCUGAGGUGGGAGGAUCACAGCCAGGCCUGGGAAGGUCAAGACUGCAGUGAGCUGUAAUCACACCACUACCCUCCAGCCUAGGUGACAGAACAAGAUCUUCUCUCAACAACAACAACAAAAAGUGUAGGGGGGUGGGGCACAUGCAUUUAGGUGAACAAAUAAUGUGUAUAAUAUGAACAUAGCAUGCAAAA